Molecule: long non-coding RNA, 9993 nt
Filed under: Malus domestica (apple)
Lineage: Eukaryota; Viridiplantae; Streptophyta; Magnoliopsida; Rosales; Rosaceae
Description: long non-coding RNA (MDOM_LNC011625)
Source: RNAcentral
CUACACAAAAAUAUGAAUUUUGGUUGAAUAAAUAGGAGUUAUAGAAAAAGAUACAACCUUUAGAUUAUCUUACUACUGAGAGUAUUCCCUCUUGUAUUACAACUCAAUAAUAAAGAUUCAUAUAGAAUUCUCGAUUAGGAGCCAAUAAUCUAACCCCAAAAAAAAAAUAAAAAAAAAUAAAAAAACAGUUAUUGAACCUGAUAUCUAUUCUUGUACAAUUCUACAGCUGCUCCAUGAGCAAGAAGAAUGUGGUGUGUCACCAAGUAUGGUUCAAUGGCUGAAUCUCCACCGGUGCAGUUUAGGUUUUGCCAAGAAGAGCAGCGUCCCGGUGCUAGAGUCCCAACAGCAUAACCCAUGCUACUAAAAGUAUAUGGCUCAUUUACCGUGAACCAGUGCUUGACACGAUCACCAAAUUCCUUAUAACAAAGUUCUGCAUAGUCUUUAAAAUGAUCGCUGCAGAUACAAAUUUAUGUUAAGUAUAUCAGUACGUAUUUUAUCAAAUUAUCAACGAGAAAAUAAAUUUUGUUCACUUACACAAUACGAGGGCUUAAGAAACCACCAUAUUCAUCUUCUAAAGCUUGGGGAACAUCCCAAUGAAAGAGUGUUACAAACGGCUUUAAACCUAUAAUACAUGAUCAGUAAAAUCAAAUUAAAAGUCUGAUUGAAUGAUGUUCUAAAAAUUCAUGUAAUAAUUGUUUAAGGUAGGAUAAUUAACCAUUGCGUAGGAGUUCAUUGAUGAGAUUGUUGUAAUAAUCAAUUCCUUUCCUGUUAACGCCACCACUUAACGUUCCAUCUAAUUAGAACAAAAAUAACAAGAAAAAAAAGGGUUACCCAGUAGAUAACUCGAUCACAUUACUUUAGUUUAAAUAGUAUAUAAAAGAGAAUAAUUUUUCUUGUAGGAAAAAUAAUUCUUAUGCACAAUAUUGUCAUUGGUCCCAACCAAAAAUGAGGACGUCGAGCAACUUACUUGGUAAUAAUCUGGACCAUGAAAUAGAUAAUCUGUAAGCAUCCAAAUUCAUAUCCUUCAUAAUCCCCACAUCUUCCUAGAAUGACAAAAGUUUAAAAUUAAAUAUUGAGGAUCUCAUUAUAUAUUGUUCUUUUUUUUUUUUUUUUUUUGUAAAGGCUCCAAUUUAUAAUGUUAACAUGUGCCCUUCAAGUAUAAAGGGUCGAGAGACAAAGUUAUGAGGUUUUAGACCUUAUAGCGGUGAUAUUGAUCUAUAGCGACAUCUCCGUUACUGCCAUCAUCGAUUUUUUCUGCAAUUAUUAAAAAACAUAAUGGUGAAAUCCAUAUCAUGUGCAAAGUACUUUAUAUGCGUGCGCACUGAUGAAGUAUAUACAUAUAUUGUACAUAUCACAUGACCACGUACUGUUGGUCUCCCAACAAAGUGCAUGGCUGUUAGAGAGGUUGGAGUUUACUUGUCCUCACGAAGAAAAGAAUGAGGUGCUAUUUCUACUCCUUUGAAAUGAAGUAGCAAAAGUUUUCAUAUUACCAAUUGAUUAAAUCACAGACCUGGAUGUUUGUGGGUGAAGGUAUCCCAUAUGCUUGGUCCUCUUCCAUCUUCUUUUACUGCACCUUCAUACUGAAAUACACACACAUGCAUAUACGUAAGAGUACUACUACACACGCAAGGAAGAUGACAACAUUAUAAUUCAUGCAUGGAUGCUAGCUGCAUGUAUAAAAUACACCAAAAAUGUGGUAAAUAAAGACAGAAGAUAUAUAUAUACUGACCUGGUAAGAUGCAGAACCUGUGCCAAAUAUGAACCCUGGUUCAAAACUGCUGCGAUUGAGAAAUUCGCAAUGAACAGGUGGAUCUGUAUUAGUUGCUUUGCCAUUUGUCAAUGCAAAGCCAAUGAGUAGCAGCACACCAAAGAGCAAAGAUCGUGAAUAUUUCAUUGCCAUAACUUGGGAGUUUUGAUAUCGAUCGAGAUAAUUAAGUUAUCUCCUCCGGGAAUAUUGCAUGGGGUUUAUAUAGAGAAAGGGAGGAAAGGGAUAUGGUGUCUACGUACUAGCUCAUGAGAAUAAUAAAGGGUUAAAAUUUGUAAACAAAAUUGGCUUUGAAAGUCCUAGUUUAAAGACCAAGUCAAGGUAUAUUUCAAAAAAAAACAAAAGACCAAGUCAUGGUGUGUAGUUUAAAAGAAAGCACGUUUCAUGUACCCAAAAGUUGCGUAUUACGUACGUUAAAAAGAAUGGAUGAUCCUUGCGUUCCACCUAUGAGGAAUGAACAUAUUCUACAAAUUUUAUAUUGUGAUCGUUUCAGUUUCUUAAUCUUUAUUUCAAAAUCAUCAAAACAAAAACAAUUAUUUGAAUCUGAGAUCGUUUAGUCAUUUAAAUAUAUGAACCCAAUUGACAGUGUCGACACUAAGUAAAAGAUUUUAUAACGAACUAUUCAUUUUUAUUGAUACAUUUGGAUGACUAAAACAGUCUUCAAUUUGGAAUAGUUUUUUGUAUAUAUGAUAUUCAAAUUAAGAUUAAGAAAUUAAUAACUGAUACUACAAAAAUACACUUUAUUUAUUAAAAAAAAAUAUUCCUUGAGUUGAAAAGUAAGAUAAUGUACACAACAGUUCGAUCGAUCUCAUCUUAAUUUGAAAUGAUCAAUCCUUGAGUUACCCUUGAGUUUUCCAGCAAAAGAAAAUGUUUUUCUGUAUUCGGAAACAAAGAGUCAUUUAUCUGCAUGUUUAUAUUAUGUCUGUCCAACUGUUGAAGGGCAUAACUUUUGAAGUUGAAUAUGGACGAUUAGCUACAGAGACUUAUUCAAACUAUAGAAAACUAUUUGACACCAAACAAAAAAGUAGAAAUUUAUGACCAGAAUUCUUUACGUAAGUACAUAAUCGAUAAAGAUGAAGAAUUUAAUCUUGAUCUUUUACUUCUUGUUAGAGUUUUAAUGUUGAAUCCGUGAACCCAGUGGUUUUGUGAAAUUGUUUUUCCACGCAAAUUAAGAAGGCAUCGAAAUAGCUAGGUUCUCAAAUUGGCUAUUUCGCUCCUAAAGAUUGUGAAAGGAUACCAUUGGGGUGGCUUCUUCUUGGUAGUACAAGAAAUUGAUUAGCUGUUUCAAGAAAACAGGUUUUUUAUUAGCUUACAUCUAUUUAUUUUGAUUUAAUAUUUUUUUACAAUUCAAAAACACAAAAAUUUUGACCCCCCCUCUAAUUUUUCUAAUUUUUUUCUUUAUUUGAAUUUUUGGGACUUAUAUUGAAUUUUAAUGUGUAUCACAACCUGAAGGGAUUGGGAGGGAGGGUCAUUUCAUUUUUGGAUAUAGAACGAAUAGGUUCAGGAGAUGAGAGAAUUAAGGAUACGCACCAGAAAGACUAAUCCAAUGCAUAAUGAUGUGCCGAAAAAUAGAACAUUUUUGUUACCCCGACCAACCCUUAGGAGAAGCAAAUGCGACACGUAGACUAAUCAGUAAAAUUAAAGAAGUAGCAUUUAAUGCAAAAAUAGCCAAUAGGAAAGCAAUAGUCAUGUUUCUAAUCCUCCAAUCUACCAACAAAAGAAUUAUACCAUUUGAUCCCUUUAUCAACCAAAAAAUUGUACGCCUUAUAUACUGCUUUUGGGUAACCCUUCUCAACAACUAAGAGAUCCAUUCGCUGAACAAGGGGACUAGUUGAAGUACGGAUCCUCCCAAUAUUGGGAGGAUCCGUACUUCAAUUGAGCUAAUGACAAAUCAUUUCACCAUUUUAGUUGGAACUUUAGGCGGUUCUCGAAAAAAGAUAGCGAAAAAAAAUUAUUCCUAAGAGUUUGAGACUAAAAGGAAUGUAUAAACCAAUGCUUCCAUAGAUUCGAUCGUGGUUUACAAUUAUAGCUUCCAUACCUGUUUAUUUGGGAUCGUCUCCCGGAUAAAUAAAGAACAAGAGUCAAAGAAAAGGCAGUGAUUCAAAUCUAGAUUUAUCUGGUACCCCCCAUCUAAAAAUCACAAAAAGAAAAUAAAAAAGAAAAGUAACAAGUAACAAAACAUAUUGUAUCAGACUACUUGUCUUCUUGUAGUUGGAUCUCCAAGCUUUUGGAAUGCUCCGAAUUCCAGUUGAGCAUCUAAAUCUGGAUCAAUACCAGCAAAAAACAUCUCGAAACAAGGUUCUAGCUCCAUGCCAAAUGGAUUUAUUUUUUGUCCCAUAAUCCCCCACUACUAUAUAUAUCGUGCAACGUGACAUCUGUCUGUAUGUUUUUUUUAUUCAUUCGAUUUUUUUUUAAGCAUAACAUAAUAUAGCGUAUUUGUAUAAUUUAUAAUAUAAAAUAUUCUUCCUUUAAGCAUUCCUUAGCUCUGAUUUAUUGAAUUUCCUUUUAUCUAUUUCUUCAUCUUCAUCGAAACAUAUAUCUUUCAAUGCAAUAGUUAUAUGACAAGUAGAUCUUUUUGUAGGAUAACCCCAUCCUCGAGCCAGGGGCUUUCAUUUUUUCACAGUUGCGUGUUACAGAUAACACCAGCCACAAGGACCACUCUUGUGUUAUAACUAAUAUAAGAUAAAAUUAGGUAAUGCAAUAAAAUUAAAGAAGGGAGCGACGUUGAAUUAAGAAAAAUGAUUGAAGAAUUGUUAUUUUAUAGGUUAAUAGGUUAUUUAUCAUUGUCAUAUUCCCCAAAGUUUAUGUUUUGGACUGUUUAAAAUGUUCUAGUUAACGUAGCAAUGAUCCUGUCAGUUUUGGCUCAUUAUGUAUGGAUUCGAAGGGAACAACGAGACUUACAAAAGUAAAUGAGCACAUGGGGAUUUGGCAAAGUAAUCACGUCUAAAUAGACAAAAUAUAGAUUUAAGAGCUUUAGGAAAAUUGGAUAUUUGUUGUUUGUACCAUACUUCGUCACUCCCGAAACUACCGAGCACCGGUCAACUAUGUACCUUCAAGGAUCCACUAAAGAGUUAACGUGGAGACACCCUUGCCAAAGCACACGAGUUCCUCUCCAAUCAAGAGACCAAUAAAAAAACGACACAUGUCAACGUCAGAAUAAAGCUCCUAGAGACCCAGAUCAAUUGUGGACAGGAUCCGAAAACUUUCCUCAUCUAUAAAAGGAGACCGUUCUCCUGCAAUUAAUCUGUAAUGUCAUUAUUGUACUUAAACUCGUCAUUAGAACUCACUAAUGAUGAUUAUGCUUAAACCUAUGUAUUGUGUAAACUCUUCACUAUUAAUAAGAACUCAUAUACCCGCAUGGACGUAACCUAACUUAGGUUGAACCACGUACAUCUUGUGUUUGCUUCCCUACCUCUAUCUUUUUACAUAUUAUCCUCACAAGGUGACCAAAGCAACCUUGCGAAGGUCAUAAACUUGUCACUUAACGUUGUUCCAAAGUCUAACUGAUUUUGCGUAUCAACAUUUGGCACCGUUUGUGGGAACGACACUGAUUCCUACUCUUACCAGCUUUGUCAGACUGGUUUCUAUUUGAUAAAGCGUCGUUCUCCAACAUGGGGAGUGAAGGAAGGCACAACAUGCAGAAAAACACCAUUUGCAUGCCUAGUGUGAGGCAGCGAAUGAGGGAAAGGAACAAGCCUGUUCUUCAAACUAAAGUCCAAGAGGUUAGAACUCAGAAUAAAAGAAAAUGGUGAUAUGGAAUGAGAUCCUCCAAGAACAGUAUGUGAAGCUCUUCGAGAUGCUUCACAAAGCUAUACCGACUCAAUCUCAAGAGUCAUUGCCUUCAUGACAGCGGAUCAACACAUAGGUACCCACGCAAAGUUUCACAUGUCUUCUUAAUAAGGAAUGGCCUUCUACCCAAGAUAUUGAUCAACACGAGACUUCUCUCAACCCAGCUGCUUCAAACCAAAACAAGAUAAUUGGAAGACGACAUCUCCUUGCAACAGGAUUGGAAUGAUCAAAAGCUGGUUAUCGCGACUGUCAAGACCUCUUGAGGCAUCGUAAAAAAAAACCUAUCCAUAUAGACUCAAGGAUCAUUGACCCCAAUGGUCAUCGAAUGAAUCAAUCCCUUACCAUAACCAAGGUCAACUACUAACCUAAGGAAGAAACGACAAGACUUAGAGGGACAAGAAGGUGUUUGGGUCUCGAGGAACUUCUAACCGGAAUUUCCUUGAAGCCAAUAUGGUGAAUCCAAAAAAAAGUCACAUACUCUUGACCAAACUUCUCCACUUCCAAGAAAUGAUGGAAACUUACGAAGCAGGGUUCCAGUAGUGCCUGACUCCACUUAGGACCCCCUUAUCCUACAGUUUUUUGAGGAAGUGAACAGACUAAAGGCCAAACGCCAUGCCAAGGUACCUAACUUGACGAGGCCAGGCCCUCUGACAAGAAGGAUCUUUGGCACCCCUCUAAAAGGAGAAACAAAACAGAAGAUUGGUUUGCUAUCGUAAAUUGGGAGGGAAGAUCCAAAUGAGCAUAUCCAUCUCUUUGAAUCCACCAUGGUAUACCGAGGCAUAGUAAUGAAGAACGAUGUCUCAUUUUCCCCUUCAUUCUAUCUGUGGGAGCUCUCAAUUAGUAUUGUCGUCUUCAACCUGAUAUAAUAGAUUCUUUCACUAAUCUUAAGAGACUUUUUGUGGUGCAACGCAUCUUCUAGGCUGAUUGCUUACACUCCGCCAAACAUUUAUACACCAUUCUUCAGAAGUCAAACUAGUCAUUGUGUGAAUAUGCCCGUAGCUUCAGCCACGAGCAUUCUUUUUGAACUGUGGUAGAUUAUAAACAACACUCAGGGCCUUCAGAAUAGGUGUCAACAUACACUUUUUCCCUUCAGCAUGUGUUACAAUGUGCCUCGACAACUCGUCAUUAUUCUCACCCACUUGGUUAUGAAGCAACUCAACUUCGUAUCACCAACCAGGUGAUAAUUUUUUCCUUUGGCAACUUACCACCCUUUCCACCAACUAGGUAAUGAAGGAACUUACCUUUGUCCACUAACUAAAUGAUGAAAAGUACAACCAGUGCUCCACUCUUUUCAGUAACCAAGUAAUGAAGGAACUCACCUUAUAUCACCAUGCAGUAUGAAUCGUUAUUAACAUCUCUUUCAACUGUACCAGAAGGUCAAACAUUGUAGUACAUACAAGGAGACCGAAGACUCUCAUCAACUAUAAAAGGAGACCGUUCUCGUACAAUUAAUUCCUAAUAUCAUUAUUGCGCUUAAACUCGUCAUUAGGACUCACUAAUGAUGAUUAUGCUUAAACUUAGGUCUUGUGUAAAAUCUUCACUAUUAAUGAGGACUCCUCUACCCUCGUGGACGUAACCCAAUUUAAGGUGAACCACAUACAUCUUGUGUUGCUUUCCUACCUCUAUCUCUUUAAUUAUGAUCCUCAACAGGUAACCGGAGCAACCUCGCGAAGGUUACAAACUUGACACUUUACGUUGUUCCAAUGUCUCACUGAUUUUGUGCAUCAACAUUUGUAAAUAAUUUGCUACAAGCAAUUGAGCCCGUGCGAUUUGUUUUAAAACUGUGUUAAAUAGGUGGAAUAUAUUAAAAUCUAUUAGCAUCCUUCUGUUCAACAAAGAAUAAAAAAAAUUGACGUUUGUAAUAUAUAGCAUAAGUUUUGAAACUCUUUAAUUCUUCUAAGUAAAUUUGACAAAUACGUACAAUCCAAUCUUCGACCAAUUCAAGCGUAUGCUUUUUCUUUUCUUCAAUCAAAUUUGUCAUGUCACCCAAGGUCGUAUGCAAAGUUAGCUAAUUGAAAACAUUUGCGUUAAGUUGUGCAGAAAGUUAAGUACGCUUUAAUUGAAAAAAAAAUCACUAAUACAAUUAGGCAAGAAGGAGAAGGAGAUAAUCGUGAGGAGCUAGAAAUAUUUUGACUUCAACAAGAAGAUAUUGACAAGGUUUUACAUACGUGCCCGUAAGCUCCAAGUUGUGGUAUCAACUCCGAAAAAAAAAAAUGGUCCCGAAUAACAGUAUAGAAAUGUUUUAGUCCAUCUUAAACUUUUUUUUUUGUGACCUUGCUUAUUAUUGUACUUAUUAACAAUUACUACUAUGUCGAGGCGAGUUUCUUUACAACAGGACCAAGAAAAAUAAUAACUUAUUACAAUGUGGUAUUUAUUCCUGAACCCCAACUGGGACCGAAACUGUUUAUGACUAUAAAUAAGUUAUUCCUUUAUAUAGAGAUGUUUUACUUUAGCAUUCACAUGUCUUAUUAUUGAAUUAUUGAAUCUCAAAGAAUACUUACAUUAUUGAAAGGAAAUACAAAUGCAAAAGGAAUUGAAAUACAAAUACAUAAAAAGGAAAAUUAUCCACUUAAAUGUUUAUAAUCAACAAUAAAUUUCUUUUAAUUUCUUCAAUUCUUCUUAAGCAAAUUUUUGAACCAAUGUGCUGAGAGUUUUGGGUGUCUUUUCAGCCCAUCAUUAUAAUCCACGUAGUUUAAACCAAAUCGGACGGUGUAUCCAGAAUUCCAUUCAAAGUCGUCCAACAAUGUCCAUGGAAAGUAUCCCUUCACUUUCGCACCAUUUCUGCACACACAUACACCAAUGUUCAAAUGGAUUAGGUCAAUAUAAUGAUUAAAUAACAAUAACUUAAGAAGGCUAGGCAGUAUAUAACCUUAAUUAAUUUGUUAAUAACUACUUACUUGAUCGCCGCUUGAAGGUAACAUAGGUGACGGUAGUGGUAGUCAAUUCUACCGGUAUCAAGAAGAGCCUCUUCAAUUGAUAGUUCUGGAUUAUUCAACUCUGAUACACCUACGUACAUAUUAUUGCACAAAAAAUUAAAUUUAGUUUUUUCCUCUAAAAAUAUAAAAAAAACAUGCAGUUCCAGUUUACGCCAUUAUAAAUAUGUGAAACUUUUGCAAUUAAUCAAGGCUUAAAAGUACGUAUUACAUACCAUUCUCAGUAAUAUAAAUGAGUGGAUCAUUAUAUUUUUCCUUUGUGUAGAGCACAAGAUCGUGAAUUCCUUUUGGAUAUACAUAUAACCAAUCUAAAGCAGUCUGCAACACCAUUUCAAGAUAAUACGUAAAUGUUGGGGAAAAAAGCUAAUCCUCCAAAUGCAAAUAGCUCAAAAUGAUAAAUUUGAUGUAUACCUGUGGACCAAUAAGUACUCCAUUAAGCUCAGCUGCCACAAUAUUUACAAACAUUAGAAUACAAUUGGUGUAAAUAUUAGAAUAUAAUUAAUGUAAUUAAGAGGUUAAACUAGGUCAAGAAGAACAAAGAACUGAAGCUAUUCAAAGUAAGUUUCCUUUGGCACUCACUUGUAAGAUCAGCUUGAGGAUCUGUUACGAAGCUUGCCUGUAGUGAAUUGUUCUUAGGUGUACUAGUUGCGUAUCUAGCAGUAUAAUAAUUUAUUCCAAGAAAAUCAAAUGAUCCGUUUAGCAACUUGGAUUGUUCUUUUGUGAAUUUUGGCAAUCUUUUUCCAACAAUUGAUCGCAUGCUGUGUGGAUAGUCACCACUUGUUAAAGGGUCCAAAAACCUACAAAACAAGAAAAUUCCAAAUAUUAGCCUAAUUAUAGCAUUAUAGAUAAAUAGUACUGCUAGCUAGGUAGUAUCAAUGUUACAAGUCAUAAGUAUACAUGAUGUAAUUGGGUUUAUGUAUAAUUUAAUAAGACACUUGCCAUCCAAACAUAAAAUCCAAAGAUCGUAAGGCAGCAUCUUUAUCUUGCUUUGACUCCGAAGCAGGCUCAAACCAGUAUGACACCAAUGUUAUCCCUAUCAAGCCUUUCUGAGAUGCCUACACAAAAAUAUGAAUUUUGGUUGAAUAAAUAGGAGUUAUAGAAAAAGAUACAACCUUUAGAUUAUCUUACUACUGAGAGUAUUCCCUCUUGUAUUACAACUCAAUAAUAAAGAUUCAUAUAGAAUUCUCGAUUAGGAGCCAAUAAUCUAACCCAAAAAACAAAAUAAAAAAAAAUAAAAAAACAGUUAUUGAACCUGAUAUCUAUUCUUGUACAAUUCUACAGCUGCUCCAUGAGCAAGAAGAAUGUGGUGUGUCACCAAGUAUGGUUCAAUGGCUGAAUCUCCACCGGUGCAGUUUAGGUUUUGCCAAGAAGAGCAGCGUCCCGGUGCUAGAGUCCCAACAGCAUAACCCAUGCUACUAAAAGUAUAUGGCUCAUUUACCGUGAACCAGUGCUUGACUCGAUCACCAAAUUCCUUAUAACAAAGUUCUGCAUAGUCUUUAAAAUGAU